Molecule: ribosomal RNA, 497 nt
Filed under: uncultured bacterium
Lineage: Bacteria
Description: partial 16S ribosomal RNA
Rfam family: Bacterial small subunit ribosomal RNA
Source: RNAcentral
GAUGAACGCUGGCGGCGUGCCUAAUACAUGCAAGUCGAGCGAACAGACGAGGAGCUUGCUCCUCUGACGUUAGCGGCGGACGGGUGAGUAACACGUGGAUAACCUACCUAUAAGACUGGGAUAACUUCGGGAAACCGGAGCUAAUACCGGAUAAUAUAUUGAACCGCAUGGUUCAAUAGUGAAAGACGGUUUUGCUGGCACUUAUAGAUGGAUCUCCGCCGCAUUAGCUAGUUGGUAAGGUAACGGCUUACCAAGGCAACGAUGCGUAGCCGACCUGAGAGGGUGAUCGGCCACACUGGAACUGAGACACGGUCCAGACUCCUACGGGAGGCAGCAGUAGGGAAUCUUCCGCAAUGGGCGAAAGCCUGACGGAGCAACGCCGCGUGAGUGAUGAAGGUCUUCGGAUCGUAAAACUCUGUUAUUAGGGAAGAACAAAUGUGUAAGUAACUAUGCACGUCUUGACGGUACCUAAUCAGAAAGCCACGGCUAACUACGUG